AAAAAGAUAAGCUAAAUUUAAGCUACUGGGUUCAUACCCCAUUUAUAAAGACACCACCUUUUCUUUUUA
Molecule: transfer RNA, 69 nt
Filed under: Charaea flaviventris
Lineage: Eukaryota; Metazoa; Arthropoda; Insecta; Coleoptera; Chrysomelidae
Description: tRNA-Met
Source: RNAcentral